Molecule: RNA transcript, 1457 nt
Organism: Tarenaya hassleriana
Lineage: Eukaryota; Viridiplantae; Streptophyta; Magnoliopsida; Brassicales; Cleomaceae
Gene name: protein SLOW GREEN 1, chloroplastic-like
Exons: 3
Source: RefSeq, a predicted model, not a curated record
UUUUUCUUCUUCAUCAUCACUCGGACACUGGGGGGUUUUUAGGGUUUAUCCAUCUCCUCCUCUCUUCGCAAUCAUGGGGUCUCUAGGGCAAUUACAAAUCCAUCACCAACCAUUUCACCUCUCGCUCAGUCACGGCUCCUCGUCAUUCCCAAAAACCUUGUCUUCGUGUUCCUUCAGAUCCUUGCACCGUUCGACCUCCUCGCUCAAGUGUUCCUCCAUCAGUGCUUCAUCGUCCAAACCCCAAAACCCUAGGUUUCAUGUCUUGAAAUCUCUCCCUUCACGCCUCCUCAAAUCCACCUGCAUCACCUUCACCGCCGCCGCUGCGUUGUUCUUCGUGAAUCUCCAGCUCAAACCGCCCGCGUUCGCGGCUCCGUUCGCGGCGCCGUCGGUGGAAUCUAUGAAGCAGACGAAGGAAGAUGUUUCGUUGGAGGAAGGAGAGAGAGCGAUUGAGGAACACCUUGCCAGUCACCCCACGGAUGUGGAUGCUCUACGGUCGUUGAUGGAGGUGAGGAUAAAAUCUAAGAAGCUUGUAGAAGCAAUAGAGGUGAUUGAUCGUUUGAUUGAAUUGGAACCCGAUGAGAAGGAAUGGCCUGUGUUGAAGGCUAAUAUCUUUAGCUACAGUGGGGAUUUGGAAUCGGCCAAACAAGGGUUUGAAGAGAUUCUGGAGAAGGACCCUCUUCGUGUUGAAGCCUAUCAUGGUCUGGUAAUGGCGUAUUCUGAUUCGGGUAGGGAUUUGAAAGAGGUGGAGAAGAGAAUUCAGGAAGCGAUGGAGGAAUGCAAGAAAGAGAAGAAUCUCAAGGAUUUCAGGGAUUUCAAGCUGCUUGUUGCCCAAAUUCGGGUCAUCGAAGGGAAGCAUAAUGAAGCAUUGAAGCUCUAUCAGGAGCUUGUGAAGGAGGAACCAAGAGAUUUCCGACCAUAUCUCUGUCAGGGGAUCAUAUACACAUUGCUGAAGAAGAAGGACGAGGCCGAGAAACAGUUUGACAAGUUUCGGAAACUUGUCCCGAGGAACCACCCUUACAGAGAAUAUUUCAUGGAUAACAUGGUGGCAACAAAGCUUUUCGCAGAGAAGGCGGAAAGGGAGAUGGCUGGAUCAAAGAGCUGAGAGUGUGCCAACUGAACAAGGGUACGUUUCUUCCUGCAACUUUGAUCAAACGUUUCCUCUGGUGUUUUAAUUUGAGGAAGAACUUAGCCUCCUAUAGAGUAGAGGACUUGUUGUGCCACCCUUUAGGCGACUAGAGACUCCUGAAGACAGAUUCUCCUCCCCAUUGGUUGAAAUUCAGUAUUUACCUUUUUGUCUUCCGGAAUAGCGGCUCGGAUGCGUUGGGUAUAAAACGUCACACUCAAACAUUGGAUUCUCAGAAGAAGUUUACAUCAAACUUUUUUGUGGUACUCUCUCUCUCUCUCUCAAAGUUAUUUGGAGCUUGAAUGAAAUAUGGCGUAAAGUGUUUGUCCCGUUC